Molecule: ribosomal RNA, 1044 nt
Filed under: uncultured organism
Description: bacterial SSU rRNA
Rfam family: Bacterial small subunit ribosomal RNA
Source: RNAcentral
UGGAUCGUAAACUGCUUUUGUAUGGGAAGAACUUCCCGCAUUCGUGCGGGAUUGACGGUACUAUACGAAUAAUGACCGGCUAACUCCGUACCAGCAGCCGCGGUAAUACGGAGGGUCCAAGCGUUAUCCGGAUUCACUGUGUUUAAAGGGUGCGUAGGUGGAACGAUAAGUCGAUGGUGAAAGCCUACAGCUUAACUGUAGAAUUGCCAUUGAUACUGUUGUUCUUGAGUAUAGUCGGGGGAAGUGGAAUGCGUAAUGUAGCGGUGAAAUGCAUAGAUAUUACGCAGAACACCGAUCGCGAAAGCAGCUUCCUAGGCUAUUACUGACACUGAGGCACGAAAGCGUGGGGAGCGAACAGGAUUAGAUACCCUGGUAGUCCACGCCGUAAACGAUGCUCACUCGCUGUUGGCGAUAUAUUGUCAGCAGUUAAGCUAAAGCAUUAAGUGAGCCACCUGGGAAGUACGUCCGCAAGGAUGAAACUCAAAGGAAUUGACGGGGGCCCGCACAACCGGUGGAACAUGUGGUUCAAUUCGAUGAUACGCGAGGAACCUUACCUGGGCUUAAAUGUAGUUUGACUUCCGCCGAAAGGCGGUUUUCCCUCGGGACAAAUUACAAGGUGCUGCACGGCUGUCGUCAGCUCGUGCCGUGAGGUAUCGGGUUAAGUCCCUUAACGAGCGCAACCCCUAUUGUUAGUUACCAACAGGUUAAGCUGGGGACUCUAGCAAAACUGCCAGCGUAAGCUGGAGGAAGGUGGGGAUGACGUCAAGUCAGCAUGGCCCUUAUGUCCAGGGCUACACACGUGUUACAAUGGCCGAUACAAAGGGCAGCCACCACGCGAGUGGGAGCUAAUCCUUAAAAUCGGUCUCAGUUCGGAUCGAAGUCUGCAAUUCGACUUCGUGAAGGUGGAAUCGGUAGUAAUCGCGCAUCAGCAAUGGCGCGGUGAAUACGUUCNCCGGGCCUUGUACACACUGCCCGUCAAGCCAUGGAAAUUGGUGUUGCCUGAAGUCCGUACCAUCCAGGAGCGGCCUAAGGCAAAACUGAUAA